CCUANGGGGGGCAGCAGUCGAGAAUUUUUCUCAAUGGGGGAAACCCUGAAGGAGCGACGCCGCGUGGAGGAUGAAGGUCUUCGGAUUGUAAACUCCUGUCAUUUGGGAACAAUUGUUGGCGAUUAACUGUCGUCAGCUUGAUAGUACCAGAAGAGGAAGAGACGGCUAACUCUGUGCCAGCAGCCGCGGUAAUACAGAGGUCUCAAGCGUUGUUCGGAUUCAUUGGGCGUAAAGGGUGCGUAGGUGGCGGGGUUAGUCAGGUGUGAAAUCUCGGGGCUCAACCCCGAAACUGCACUUGAUACUGCCUUGCUAGAGUACUGGAGAGGAGAUUGGAAUUUACGGUGUAGCAGUGAAAUGCGUAGAUAUCGUAAGGAAGACCAGUGGCGAAGGCGAAUCUCUGGACAGUUACUGACACUGAGGCACGAAGGCUAGGGGAGCAAACGGGAUUAGAUACCCUUNUANUC
This 464-nucleotide ribosomal RNA is filed under the name uncultured bacterium. Its description in RNAcentral is "bacterial SSU rRNA". It matches the Rfam family "Bacterial small subunit ribosomal RNA", at positions 338 to 795 of the family's 1533-position model. The record is from RNAcentral.